GGCGCUAUGGUGUAGCGGUAGCACGUGGGAUUCUGAUGUAUCGUCCUUCCCACAACCCAGGUUCGAUCCCUGGUAGUGCCU
Mucidula mucida is the source of this 81-nucleotide non-coding RNA. The record is from the annotation of a GenBank genome assembly. NCBI's taxonomy places the organism in Eukaryota, Fungi, Basidiomycota, Agaricomycetes, Agaricales, Physalacriaceae.